This is a long non-coding RNA of Zingiber officinale, 99 nucleotides long. RefSeq lists it as uncharacterized. The transcript has 3 exons. The record is from RefSeq and is a predicted model, not a curated record. NCBI's taxonomy places the organism in Eukaryota, Viridiplantae, Streptophyta, Magnoliopsida, Zingiberales, Zingiberaceae.
AGCUCCAGACCUUAUCAUUAAAUGCAAACCAUUUUACUGGUAGAAUACCUGCAUCCCUGGACACUUGAACAAGAAUCAUCUCUCAGGUCCAAUUCCACU